Molecule: ribosomal RNA, 496 nt
Filed under: uncultured bacterium
Lineage: Bacteria
Description: partial 16S ribosomal RNA
Rfam family: Bacterial small subunit ribosomal RNA
Source: RNAcentral
AUGAACGCUGGCGGCGUGCCUAAUCCCUGCCAGUCGAGCGAACGGACGAGAAGCUUGCUUUUCUGAUGUUAGCGGCGGACGGGUGAGUAACACGUGGAUAACCUACCUAUAAGACUGGGAUAACUUCGGGAAACCGGAGCUAAUACCGGAUAAUAUUUUGAACCGCAUGGUUCAAAAGUGAAAGACGGUCUUGCUGUCACUUAUAGAUGGAUCCGCGCUGCAUUAGCUAGUUGGUAAGGUAACGGCUUACCAAGGCAACGAUGCAUAGCCGACCUGAGAGGGUGAUCGGCCACACUGGAACUGAGACACGGUCCAGACUCCUACGGGAGGCAGCAGUAGGGAAUCUUCCGCAAUGGGCGAAAGCCUGACGGAGCAACGCCGCGUGAGUGAUGAAGGUCUUCGGAUCGUAAAACUCUGUUAUUAGGGAAGAACAUAUGUGUAAGUAACUGUGCACAUCUUGACGGUACCUAAUCAGAAAGCCACGGCUAACUACGUG